Molecule: ribosomal RNA, 738 nt
Filed under: uncultured Streptococcaceae bacterium
Lineage: Bacteria; Bacillati; Bacillota; Bacilli; Lactobacillales; Streptococcaceae
Description: bacterial SSU rRNA
Rfam family: Bacterial small subunit ribosomal RNA
Source: RNAcentral
AGUAGAACGCUGAAGAGAGGAGCUUGCUCUUCUUGGAUGAGUUGCGAACGGGUGAGUAACGCGUAGGUAACCUGCCUGGUAGCGGGGGAUAACUAUUGGAAACGAUAGCUAAUACCGCAUAAGAGUAGAUGUUGCAUGACAUUUGCUUAAAAGGUGCAAUUGCAUCACUACCAGAUGGACCUGCGUUGUAUUAGCUAGUUGGUGAGGUAACGGCUCACCAAGGCAACGAUACAUAGCCGACCUGAGAGGGUGAUCGGCCACACUGGGACUGAGACACGGCCCAGACUCCUACGGGAGGCAGCAGUAGGGAAUCUUCGGCAAUGGACGGAAGUCUGACCGAGCAACGCCGCGUGAGUGAAGAAGGUUUUCGGAUCGUAAAGCUCUGUUGUAAGAGAAGAACGAGUGUGAGAGUGGAAAGUUCACACUGUGACGGUAUCUUACCAGAAAGGGACGGCUAACUACGUGCCAGCAGCCGCGGUAAUACGUAGGUCCCGAGCGUUGUCCGGAUUUAUUGGGCGUAAAGCGAGCGCAGGCGGUUAGAUAAGUCUGAAGUUAAAGGCUGUGGCUUAACCAUAGUACGCUUUGGAAACUGUUUAACUUGAGUGCAAGAGGGGAGAGUGGAAUUCCAUGUGUAGCGGUGAAAUGCGUGGAUAUAUGGAGGAACACCGGUGGCGAAAGCGGCUCUCUGGCUUGUAACUGACGCUGAGGCUCGAAAGCGUGGGGAGCAAACAGGAUUAG